UACACAUGCAGUCGAACGGUGAAAGAAGAGCUUGCUCUUCUGGAUCAGUGGCGAACGGGUGAGUAACACGUGAGUAACCUGCCCCAGACUCUGGGAUAAGCACUGGAAACGGUGUCUAAUACCGGAUACGAGCUUCAACCGCAUGGUUAGGAGCUGGAAAGAAUUUCGGUCUGGGAUGGACUCGCGGCCUAUCAGCUAGUUGGUGAGGUAACGGCCCACCAAGGCGACGACGGGUAGCCGGCCUGAGAGGGUGACCGGCCACACUGGGACUGAGACACGGCCCAGACUCCUACGGGAGGCAGCAGUGGGGAAUAUUGCACAAUGGGCGCAAGCCUGAUGCAGCAACGCCGCGUGAGGGACGACGGCCUUCGGGUUGUAAACCUCUUUUAGUAGGGAAGAAGCGAAAGUGACGGUACCUGCAGAAAAAGCACCGGCUAACUACGUGCCAGCAGCCGCGGUAAUACGUAGGGUGCAAGCGUUAUCCGGAAUUAUUGGGCGUAAAGAGCUCGUAGGCGGUUUGUCGCGUCUGCUGUGAAAACUGGAGGCUCAACCUCCAGCCUGCAGUGGGUACGGGCAGACUAGAGUGCGGUAGGGGAGAUUGGAAUUCCUGGUGUAGCGGUGGAAUGCGCAGAUAUCAGGAGGAACACCGAUGGCGAAGGCAGAUCUCUGGGCCGUAACUGACGCUGAGGAGCGAAAGCAUGGGGAGCGAACAGGAUUAGAUACCCUGGUAGUCCAUGCCGUA
This 742-nucleotide ribosomal RNA is filed under the name bacterium 190_oclvp281. Its description in RNAcentral is "bacterial SSU rRNA". It matches the Rfam family "Bacterial small subunit ribosomal RNA", at positions 50 to 804 of the family's 1533-position model. The record is from RNAcentral. RNAcentral also lists the same sequence under 1 other name.